Long non-coding RNA from Lineus longissimus, 1433 nucleotides. RefSeq lists it as uncharacterized. The transcript has 3 exons. Lineage: Eukaryota; Metazoa; Nemertea; Pilidiophora; Heteronemertea; Lineidae. The record is from RefSeq and is a predicted model, not a curated record.
CGUCAGGCCUACAUUCACAUUCAUAACAUUUACAUUGUUUUUAGGCCUACCCAACAUCGCAGUUUUAAGCAUCGCAAUGGAAACAUCAACCAAGAUCCUCCUUUCUUCUCUGCUUUGUUUAUCGAUGAUAGCAGGAGUGUUGAGCAUAGACUGCUUUCGAUGCAUCCAUGAUCCCUCCCAGACGCAGGGUAUCUCCAUAUACUCAGCGGCGUCAGUCGGAAUGAAACCGAACGACCCGAACUGUGGCCACUACUUCAAUCCACGUUCGGCAGUGAGGACAACGUGUAAUGCUCUCACACAGGGGUGUCUGACCAUCAAAUAUUCCACUCAGUCCGGCAUGGCCUACAGUCGAGGAUGUACCAUCCUGUGUUUCAACAAGACUCAGACCGUCAGCGUUGGAGGCAAUAAAUAUGCAGGACACUACAACUGCUGCAAGCAUAGCUUGUGUAAUGCCAGCGUUCGCCAAUCGGCACCACUCGGACUGUCCUUGUUUUCGAUGAUCCUGUUUUUUUCGUUCAUUGUGGCUCGACUUUGAAUUUGAUAGAUAUUAAUCAUCUGAUAUUUGUGUAUCUAAUGUAGGCUGUAGUAUUUAUACAAGUGUUUGUGUUAGUAUUGUUGUAUCAUGAUAUAAUUAGAAUGAUCUAUUUGAUGCAGUUGUGGUACAGCCAAGUGUCAUCCCGCAGCCGCUAUCAGUCCUUCUUUCAUACGGGUUUUAAUGUAAGCUAUGAUUCAAUAUAAGCUUCCAUUCCGAGAUUCAGCAGUAUAUGUGUUGGGUUGCGGGGGUAUACUCACUGUCAGAGAAGCAUUCCAUGCUGGUGAAGAUAUCCUGCUACUUUUUUACGCUUGCUGAAAUAUUUGGAAUUUUUUUACAAGAGCCCGAUACACCGAAAAAGAAUUUGGACUUCAUUAAUAAAAGACAGUAAUUCUAGCUAUAUCAGGGAUUUAAUACAUGACAUCUUAACGUGUUUUCAGCUCUACAGCUUUUUCAAAGCAUGUAUAUACUACAUAUUCUGAGCUUACAGAAUUUUAUACUAUUACUAACAUGACGACUCAUACUCAUAAAGCAUGCAGUCCAUUUCGUCAUUCUGAUCCUGAUCCUCAGCACAGAUUUAUCCAGCCCCAAGCGUGUCCUUGAUAUAGUGACGUUCUGCUGUAAUAAGCAUAUUAGGUAAACAUAUUACUAUAGUACUUUUUACUAUUAACCUAUAAAUGUUAAGUGAGUACUUUUUAUAUUCCCGUUGCACAUGUUAUACAGAUAAUUACAAAAACAUAUGGGUGCAAAAAAGGAAUAACUGUCAUAAUAACUGGUGUCAAAACACUGGCAAAUUAAAGGCUACAAUUUCACAAAACCGUUUCCUAUUUACAGUAUGUUGAUGUUAUUAUUGUAUGUGUACCUCCUUCUUAGCCAAUAAAUCGUACAGUUAACGUUUGAA